Molecule: ribosomal RNA, 1159 nt
Filed under: uncultured bacterium
Lineage: Bacteria
Description: bacterial SSU rRNA
Rfam family: Bacterial small subunit ribosomal RNA
Source: RNAcentral
GGAUGGGCUCAUGUCUGAUUAGUUAGUUGGUGAGGUAACGGCUCACCAAGACCGCGAUCAGUAGCCGGUCUGAGAGGAUGAACGGCCCCAUUGGGACUGAGAUACGGCCCAGACUCCUACGGGAGGCAGCAGUGGGGAAUAUUGCACAAUGGGCGCAAGCCUGAUGCAGCAACGCCGCGUGAGCGAUGAAGGCCUUCGGGUCGUAAAGCUCUGUCCUCAAGGAAGAUAAUGACGGUACUUGAGGAGGAAGCCCCGGCUAACUACGUGCCAGCAGCCGCGGUAAUACAGAGGUCUCAAGCGUUGUUCGGAAUCACUGGGCGUAAAGCGUGCGUAGGCUGUUUCGUAAGUCGUGUGUGAAAGGCGCGGGCUCAACCCGCGGACGGCACAUGAUACUGCGAGACUAGAGUAAUGGAGGGGGAACCGGAAUUCUCGGUGUAGCAGUGAAAUGCGUAGAUAUCGAGAGGAACACUCGUGGCGAAGGCGGGUUCCUGGACAUUAACUGACGCUGAGGCACGAAGGCCAGGGGAGCGAAAGGGAUUAGAUACCCCUGUAGUCCUGGCAGUAAACGGUGCACGCUUGGUGUGCGGGGAAUCGACCCCCUGCGUGCCGGAGCUAACGCGUUAAGCGUGCCGCCUGGGGAGUACGGUCGCAAGAUUAAAACUCAAAGAAAUUGACGGGGACCCGCACAAGCGGUGGAGUAUGUGGCUUAAUUCGAUGCAACGCGAAGAACCUUACCUGGGCUUGACAUGUAAUGAACAACAUGUGAAAGCAUGCGACUCUUCGGAGGCGUUACACAGGUGCUGCAUGGCCGUCGUCAGCUCGUGUCGUGAGAUGUUUGGUUAAGUCCAGCAACGAGCGCAACCCCUGUUGCCAGUUACCAGCACGUGAAGGUGGGGACUCUGGCGAGACUGCCCAGAUCAACUGGGAGGAAGGUGGGGACGACGUCAGGUCAGUAUGGCCCUUAUGCCCAGGGCUGCACACGUACUACAAUGCCCAGUACAGAGGGGGCCGAAGCCGCGAGGCGGAGGAAAUCCUAAAAACUGGGCCCAGUUCGGACUGUAGGCUGCAACCCGCCUACACGAAGCCGGAAUCGCUAGUAAUGGCGCAUCAGCUACGGCGCCGUGAAUACGUUCCCGGGUCUUGCACACACCGCCCGUCA